Molecule: unclassified non-coding RNA, 333 nt
Filed under: soil metagenome
Description: partial contains 5.8S ribosomal RNA, internal transcribed spacer 2, and large subunit ribosomal RNA
Rfam family: 5.8S ribosomal RNA (bases 1-120)
Source: RNAcentral
GAUGAAGAACGCAGCAAAAUGCGAUAAGUAAUGUGAAUUGCAGAAUUCAGUGAAUCAUCGAAUCUUUGAACGCACAUUGCGCCCGCCAGUAUUCUGGCGGGCAUGCCUGUUCGAGCGUCAUUUCAACCCUCAAGCUCAGCUUGGUGUUGGGACUCGCGGUAACCCGCGUUCCCCAAAUCGAUUGGCGGUCACGUCGAGCUUCCAUAGCGUAGUAAUCAUACACCUCGUUACUGGUAAUCGUCGCGGCCACGCCGUAAAACCCCAACUUCUGAAUGUUGACCUCGGAUCAGGUAGGACUACCCGCUGAACUUAAGCAUAUCAAUAAGCGGAGGA